This 256-nucleotide unclassified non-coding RNA is filed under the name Hevea brasiliensis (rubber tree). The record is from RNAcentral. Lineage: Eukaryota; Viridiplantae; Streptophyta; Magnoliopsida; Malpighiales; Euphorbiaceae.
GCCACUUUUGAUGCUAAUUUAUUUAUUGCCAUUCUUGUCACCAUUGAUUGGAUUCUCUUGUGGAUCAAGUCUUGCCCACAAAUAUGCAUCCAUAACAUAGAACAUGCACAAUUUCCAACCAAGACUUCUGCAAUUACUCUAAACAUUGGCCCCUUGAUGUUGAAACAUACAUAGGUGACUACAACAAUAUAAAGAUGUUAUAAUAGCAUUGUACUGCAGUUUUUAAGAGGGUAUUCUAAUAGUAAAUUAUUUACUU